UACGGGGGGAGCAAGCGUUGUUCGGAUUUACUGGGCGUAAAGGGCGCGUAGGCGGCCACCGCAAGUCGGUUGUGAAAUCUCCGGGCUUAACCCGGAAAGGUCAACCGAUACUGCGGGGCUAGAGUGCAGAAGGGGCAACUGGAAUUCUCGGUGUAGCGGUGAAAUGCGUAGAUAUCGAGAGGAACACCUGCGGCGAAGGCGGCGUUCUGGACUGCAACUGACACUGAGAAACGAAAGCCAGGGGAGCAAACGGG
This 254-nucleotide ribosomal RNA is filed under the name uncultured bacterium. Its description in RNAcentral is "partial 16S ribosomal RNA". It matches the Rfam family "Bacterial small subunit ribosomal RNA", at positions 524 to 776 of the family's 1533-position model. The record is from RNAcentral.